RNAcentral lists this ribosomal RNA (401 nucleotides) under Caldanaerobacter subterraneus. Its description in RNAcentral is "bacterial SSU rRNA". It matches the Rfam family "Bacterial small subunit ribosomal RNA", at positions 1202 to 1533 of the family's 1533-position model. The record is from RNAcentral. Lineage: Bacteria; Bacillati; Bacillota; Clostridia; Thermoanaerobacterales; Thermoanaerobacteraceae.
UUAUGCCCUGGGCCACACACGUGCUACAAUGGCCGGUACAGCGGGAUGCGAAGCCGUGAGGUGGAGCCAAUCCCUUAAAGCCGGUCUCAGUUCGGAUUGCAGGCUGCAACUCGCCUGCAUGAAGGCGGAAUCGCUAGUAAUCGCGGAUCAGCAUGCCGCGGUGAAUACGUUCCCGGGCCUUGUACACACCGCCCGUCACACCACGGGAGCCGGCAACACCCGAAGCCGGACCUCCCAACCCGGCACUCAAGUGGGCAUGUUAGAAACGUGAUGAAGAGAAAAAAACGUGCCCACUUGAGUGCCGGGAGGGAGCCGUCGAAGGUGGGGCUGGUGACUGGGGUGAAGUCGUAACAAGGUAGCCGUACGGGAACGUGCGGCUGGAUCACCUCCUUUCUAAGGAG